UACGAAGGGGGCUAGCGUUGCUCGGAAUUACUGGGCGUAAAGGGCGCGUAGGCGGUUUGUCGCGUCUGCCGUGAAAAUCCGGGGCUCAACCCCGGACUUGCGGUGGGUACGGGCAGACUAGAGUGUGGUAGGGGAGACUGGAAUUCCUGGUGUAGCGGUGAAAUGCGCAGAUAUCAGGAGGAACACCGAUGGCGAAGGCAGGUCUCUGGGCCACUACUGACGCUGAGAAGCGAAAGCGUGGGGAGCGAACAGG
This 253-nucleotide ribosomal RNA is filed under the name uncultured bacterium. RNAcentral's name for it is "partial 16S ribosomal RNA". It matches the Rfam family "Bacterial small subunit ribosomal RNA", at positions 524 to 776 of the family's 1533-position model. The record is from RNAcentral.